GACGAACGCUGGCGGCGUGCUUAACACGUGCAAGUCGAACGGAAAGGCCCUGCUUUUGUGGGGUGCUCGAGUGGCGAACGGGUGAGUAACACGUGAGUAACCUGCCCUUGACUUUGGGAUAACUUCAGGAAACUGGGGCUAAUACCGGAUAGGAGCUCCUGCUGCAUGGUGGGGGUUGGAAAGUUUCGGCGGUUGGGGAUGGACUCGCGGCUUAUCAGCUUGUUGGUGGGGUAGUGGCUUACCAGGGCUUUGACGGGUAGCCGGCCUGAGAGGGUGACCGGCCACAUUGGGACUGAGAUACGGCCCAGACUCCUACGGGAGGCAGCAGUGGGGAAUAUUGCACAAUGGGCGGAAGCCUGAUGCAGCAACGCCGCGUGCGGGAUGACGGCCUUCGGGUUGUAAACCGCUUUCGCCUGUGACGAAGCGUGAGUGACGGUAAUGGGUAAAGAAGCACCGGCUAACUACGUG
RNAcentral lists this ribosomal RNA (468 nucleotides) under uncultured bacterium. RNAcentral describes it as "partial 16S ribosomal RNA". It matches the Rfam family "Bacterial small subunit ribosomal RNA", at positions 28 to 507 of the family's 1533-position model. The record is from RNAcentral.